GUAGUGGAGCAUGUGGUUUAAUUCGAAGAUACGCGCAGAACCUUACCAACACUUGACAUGUUCGUCGCGACUCUAAGAGAUUAGAGUUUUCGGUUCGGCCGGACGAAACACAGGUGCUGCAUGGCUGUCGUCAGCUCGUGUCGUGAGAUGUUGGGUUAAGUCCCGCAACGAGCGCAACCCUCACUUUUAGUUGCCAUCAUUAAGUUGGGCACUCUGAAAGAACUGCCAGUGAUAAGCUGGAGGAAGGUGGGGAUGACGUCAAGUCCUCAUGGCCCUUACGUGUUGGGCUACACACGUGCUACAAUGGCAUCUACAACAGGAAGCAAAACGGCAACGUUAAGCAAAUCCCGAAAAGAUGCCUCAGUUCGGAUUGCACUCUGCAACUCGAGUGCAUUAAGCAG
Molecule: ribosomal RNA, 401 nt
Filed under: uncultured Antarctic bacterium
Lineage: Bacteria
Description: bacterial SSU rRNA
Rfam family: Bacterial small subunit ribosomal RNA
Source: RNAcentral